GCCGCCGCACGAGGACACCCUCGAUGCCGGCGGCGGCGACGUGCUCACCUUCAGGCUCCACCCCCUCGCCGUCUUGAAAUUAUCCGACCGCAUCCGCGAGAUCCUCCUCCUCCUCCUACUCGGAUGUCUGGGUGCGUGAUCGGGGUUCGGCGUGGUGGGACGGUGGAUGUCUCCGACAUCUUGGACAUCUUGAUCUUGCACGGCCCCGACCCCGCAACCUUCGACCGCGCCUUACUGGAGAAGGAUCAGGAGAUCUACAAGAAGGCCUUCCCCGACUUGUCCGUUCUCGGGUGGUACUCCAUUGGGACCAAUGUGCACGCCACCGACAUGGGAAUCCACCAUGGGGACUACACCGACAUGCAAAUCCACCAGACAUUGAUGGAUGCUAAUGGAACAGCCUUUUAUCUUCUAUUAAAUCCUGCAAUCAACUUUUCCCAGAAGGAUAUCCCUUGUUGUGCCAUUCCAAUGGGAGUCCCCCGGUCAUCUUUGUCCAAGGAAACUAUACAGUUGAAAAAAAAUGCAUUUAGGACGAUGCUGUUUGAAACCCCUUCGGGAUUUGCAAUGUUCCGUGUUUCAGAUGUUUUGUUUAGAUAUCCUGAGGACAUAUGGUCGAGUUUUACUGAUCCACGUACCGCACAACAGGCUGUUCGUACCAUUGGUUUUAUUGAGGUUGGUAACAAAUCUCUUGUAUGGGAUAAGGAUAUUGGUCCUGGCGAGGAUUUAGAACAAUUUAUCCUAAAAUUCCCAAUUACAAAAUCAUUGGUUGUUCCAAACGCACAGCUUAAAUUCGUUAUUGAGAAAAAACUUAACAUUGGCUGUUGGUUUAAUGGGCGUAUUGUUCCUGAGUUGAUUUGGGGACUAAAUUAUGCCCUGGAUGAAUUUGUGCCUCAAGAGAAGGGCAACCUAUCAAAUGAAUGCCAUUUUCCACUGAGCAAGCAAUUGCAUGAGCAGUUAAAAGCAUAUGGAUUUAGUAUCUCACCACAAUUAAUUAAUAGAGAGUUUAUAACCAGUUUCGGUUACUUAAAUUAUCUGGAACGUACUUCAAAGAACAUUUCCGGGGAUUUACACCAGAAAUUUGAUCGUUUCUUUUGUGGACUUGAGAUGUCUGAGGGAGUGUUUGUAAAAGUUGUUGCGGACCGUCUCUGUUCCAUGGAGGAAGUGGCAUCAACACCAGGCAGACGAGAGGCAUUGAGCAACGCUGAAUUUCUUUUGACGGUUCCUAAGAAGAAGUAUAACACAUUAUCUCGUCUUAAGCGUAUGGAGGCAGAAGUUAGGGGUUCAGGGCCUUGGGUUUUCGUAGCUGUUUUUGCAGUGGCCUUCGGGGUUAUAUGGAAGGAUUGCGCAUUGCAAUGAAGCGAGCAAAUUAGAACUGGGCAAUAGGACCAAUGAGGCUAAAUUAGGAUCCGUAUAUAUGGUGACAACUUUUGUGAUCUAAAGUGACCAGUAAAC
RNAcentral lists this long non-coding RNA (1449 nucleotides) under Oryza sativa Indica Group (long-grained rice). RNAcentral's name for it is "lncRNA OsMH63_10G016440". The record is from RNAcentral. Lineage: Eukaryota; Viridiplantae; Streptophyta; Magnoliopsida; Poales; Poaceae.